CGUCUCCUACGGGAGGCAGCAGUGAGGAAUAUUGGUCAAUGGCCGCAGGGCUGAACCAGCCAAGUCGCGUGAGGGAUGACGGUCCUAUGGAUUGUAAACCUCUUUUGUCGGGGAGCAAAAGCCGGACGUGUCCGUCUGUGAGAGUACCCGAAGAAAAAGCAUCGGCUAACUCCGUGCCAGCAGCCGCGGUAAUACGGAGGAUGCGAGCGUUAUCCGGAUUUAUUGGGUUUAAAGGGUGCGCAGGCGGAUUUUUAAGUCAGCGGUCAAAUCGUGGGGCUCAACCCCAUCCAGCCGUUGAAACUGGG
Molecule: ribosomal RNA, 305 nt
Filed under: uncultured bacterium
Lineage: Bacteria
Description: bacterial SSU rRNA
Rfam family: Bacterial small subunit ribosomal RNA
Source: RNAcentral